AUUUGAUAGUCAUUUUUAGGGAACAGAAACCAAAUAACAGAGGCCAAGGACCAUUCGUAUUUCAAGGAGGGAAGAUGAGCGCCCUCUGCUGGCAGUAUUUGGAGUUGAUUGAGUGAGGAGCUCUAAGCAGCCUGGAAGGAGUGCUCUGAGGUCAGCAGGCCUCAGGAAUUCCUAGCAUGCAAACAAUCUUGAGGGGAAACCAGAAGGUCAUUCCUAGCAGUUACUGUAAUACCUCUCAUUGCAGGCUGUUGGAUCUGUGUUCUCUCAGUGUGAUUUAGCUUAUGUAUCUGAUAGUUUUAUGGAUAGUCGUUUGGGCUGUAAACUCCUAUACUCUAUUAAAAUGAAC
This 346-nucleotide long non-coding RNA is filed under the name Androctonus crassicauda. The record is from RNAcentral. Lineage: Eukaryota; Metazoa; Arthropoda; Arachnida; Scorpiones; Buthidae.